GAGGGGCACCCGCCCACCAACGGCCGCGGGGUUGCAGCCGACGCGGCGAUGCGUGGGGCUAAAGCUGCGUGCCUUGCACGGUGCUCCGGGGGAGCUGCAGCGGAGCGGCGGGACACUGAUAUCGCAGACACGAGAAGUGCGGCUGUAGGAUAAAAUCCGGGCUUGGAAUGAGAGCUACCAAGAACUUCCACCUUCCUUCUUAUUAUCAAGCCCAGCCAAAGCCCACAGCAAGCUUAUCUACGACCAAAGUACCUUCCACAGGCCCGAUGAAUACCUUCUGGGAUCCUGGUUAACCUCUUCUGCAAAAGAGAGGCCUCCUUCCUCCCCUGCUCUGCACUGCCAUCAGUGUCUGUCAGCGUUGCUAUUUAGAGCACCACAAUACACCGAGGAGAAGUACUACAAUGUCUUGCUGCUCGGCUCGAUGAAACAACACCAGAUGCUGAAACUCCACUGAAACUCAGCAGUACCCAAAGGAAUGUGUGCUGGGAUGCAUGGUGCAGAACAUCGGGGUACAACCUGCAGUGAGAACACUCGAGAUCCCAGUAGCUUUAGGCAUUAUAAGUGAAGUCAACACGCUGAACUUCUCUGGAAGGAGCUCAGAACCCAAAGAGGAUGGGAGGAAGGGUGAUACUGGUGCAACAUAAUCUCCCUGAGAAACAUCGCCUGGUAGGCAAGCAAUGGGAAUCUGAACAAGCUGUAGCUGACAACAGUUGAACCUCUAUGUGUAUUGUUACUCAUUCAGACAAGUAUCUCAUUUAUGCUGAGUAUGCCACAGAUCUGCAAGAUUCUAUCUUGUAUUGAUCCUUAUUUUGUGCCACAUAUUCUUUGUAUUAAAUACUCAUCAAUCCACUUAAUUAUGUCUCAUUAAUCUCAUUAAUAACUCAACAAAUCUCAUUAAUCAAGCCACACUGCGAUAUGGAAAAAUACAGUGCAGGAGCUCUUGACAACAUGACCUGUGGAGUUACAGUGAUUUACCAGUUUACCUUGAUAUAUUCAUCCACUGUGAU
Molecule: long non-coding RNA, 1007 nt
Organism: Gallus gallus (chicken)
Lineage: Eukaryota; Metazoa; Chordata; Aves; Galliformes; Phasianidae
Exons: 3
Source: RefSeq, a predicted model, not a curated record